RNAcentral lists this ribosomal RNA (425 nucleotides) under uncultured bacterium. Its description in RNAcentral is "bacterial SSU rRNA". It matches the Rfam family "Bacterial small subunit ribosomal RNA", at positions 355 to 772 of the family's 1533-position model. The record is from RNAcentral.
UGGGGAAUUUUGGACAAUGGGCGCAAGCCUGAUCCAGCAAUGCCGCGUGUGUGAAGAAGGCCUUCGGGUUGUAAAGCACUUUUAUCAGGAACGAAAAGCGAUGGAUUAAUACUCUGUCGUGCUGACGGUACCUGAGGAAUAAGCACCGGCUAACUUCGUGCCAGCAGCCGCGGUAAUACGAAGGGUGCAAGCGUUAAUCGGAAUUACUGGGCGUAAAGCGUGCGUAGAUGGUUCAUUAAGUCGGAUGUGAAAGCCCCGGGCUCAACCUGGGAACUGCAUCUGAUACUGAUGGACUAGAGUGUGGUAGAGGAUGGCGGAAUUCCCGGUGUAGCGGUGAAAUGCGUAGAGAUCGGGAGGAACAUCCGUGGCGAAGGCGGCCAUCUGGACCAACACUGACGUUGAGGCACGAAAGCGUGGGGAGCAAA